UGAUUUCUGAAAUGACUGGAGUGG
RNAcentral lists this non-coding RNA (24 nucleotides) under Cricetulus griseus (Chinese hamster). The record is from RNAcentral. Lineage: Eukaryota; Metazoa; Chordata; Mammalia; Rodentia; Cricetidae.